RNAcentral lists this small RNA (2646 nucleotides) under Pongo abelii (Sumatran orangutan). Its description in RNAcentral is "retained intron". Lineage: Eukaryota; Metazoa; Chordata; Mammalia; Primates; Hominidae. The record is from RNAcentral.
GUAAUUAAUUAACCAACUGAGAUCCAGUUCAGGGGUGAAAGUUCUUCAGGUACGAGGACGGCAUUGUUGUCAGUCUGGACCGAGCUCGCAGAGCCCCUUCUCGGCGUCCUGGUCCCGGCCCUGCCCGCGGUGUCCCGGGAGGAAGGGGCGGGCCGGGGGUCGGGAGGAGUCACGUGCCCCCUCCCGCCCCAGGUCGUCCUCUCAGCAUGGGGGUCCCGCGGCCUCAACCCUGGGCGCUGGGGCUCCUGCUCUUUCUCCUGCCCGGGAGCCUGGGCGCAGGUGAGGGCCGCUCCGGGCCGGGGCCCUGCUGCAGGCGGGCGGGGGAGGCGGCCCCAGGCAGGCAGGGGCGAAGCCCCCGGGACCCGAGUUCCCCGCGAGUCCCGGGCGCUGCCUUCUCCGCUCAAUUAACUUUCUCAACGUCUCCUGCUGGGCCUGAGGCUGGGAACCACCUGUCGCCUCUUGUGUCUCUGUUUCCCUCUCUCUCUCUGGGUCUCUGUCCCCCCCACCCCCGGGUCUCUGUCCCCUCUCUCUGAAUCUGUCCCCCUCCCUCCAUAAUAGAUUCUUCUCCCUCCCUGGGUAUCUGUCCCACUGCAGUCUAGUUCCCCGCCCGUGUGCUCCCUUCAGCUCUGUCUCUGUCUGCAGAAAGCCACCUCUCCCUCCUGUACCACCUCACCGCGGUGUCCUCGCCUGCCCCGGGGACUCCUGCCUUCUGGGUGUCUGGCUGGCUGGGCCCGCAGCAGUACCUGAGCUACAAUAGCCUGCGGGGCGAGGCGGAGCCCUGUGGAGCUUGGGUCUGGGAAAACCAGGUGUCCUGGUAUUGGGAGAAAGAGACCACAGAUCUGAGGAUCAAGGAGAAGCUCUUUCUGGAAGCUUUCAAAGCUUUGGGGGGAAAAGGUGAGAUUCCGGUCUGGAGGGGCAAGGGGCCGGGUCCAUGCUCUUGGGCCCCGCUUACCUGUGUUUGGGCGCCCCAGGUCCCUACACUCUGCAGGGCCUGCUGGGCUGUGAACUGGGCCCUGACAACACCUCGGUGCCCACCGCCAAGUUCGCCCUCAACGGCGAGGAGUUCAUGAAUUUCGACCUCAAGCAGGGCACCUGGGGUGGGGACUGGCCCGAGGCCCUGGCUGUCAGUCAGCGGUGGCAGCAGCAGGACAAGGCGGCCAACAAGGAGCUCACCUUCCUGCUGUUCUCCUGCCCGCACCGCCUGCGGGAGCACCUGGAGAGGGGCCGCGGAAACCUGGAGUGGAAGGAGCCCCCCUCCAUGCGCCUGAAGGCCCGACCCAGCAGCCCUGGCUUUUCCGUGCUUACCUGCAGCGCCUUCUCCUUCUACCCUCCGGAGCUGCAACUUCGGUUCCAGCGGAAUGGGCUGGCCGCUGGCACCGGCCAGGGCGACUUCGGCCCCAACAGUGACGGAUCCUUCCACGCCUCAUCGUCACUAAUAGUCAAAAGUGGCGAUGAGCACCACUACUGCUGCGUCGUGCAGCACGCGGGGCUGGCGCAGCCCCUCAGGGUGGAACUGGGUGAGGCCCCGCCCGGUGGUGAUGCUCCUGGUUUCCCGUUGCCUUGUCUCACUGCUGCGCCGUUCCUUCCUGAGUCUGACCUUCUUCCCCACUGCUGCCACCUCCUUGAAUCUGACUGCCUUGAACCUCGCGCCUGUCAGUGCCCCCAAAACCUGAUGGCUUGUCCUUCCCAAGGCCGACUGCCUUCCGUCUCCUGCUGCUUCUGGCCUCACUGAGUCUGAAGAGCUGUUAACUACCAUGGCCAGUCCUCCCUGAGUCUGACCAUCUUCCAUCCUGCUGCUGCUGCUGCUGCUGCUGCAGGUCUUCCUGGAAUCUGACCAUUCGUUGUCUGCUAUGCUCGUCCUCACCAAGACUGACCGCCUGCUGCUUUGCUACCGCCCGGGCCCAUGAGGCUGACUUCCCACUGCUCUGCCUGCCUCUCCCCACUGCACCGGCACAGCCCCGCCCUGCCGCUGCUGAUCCAUUGCCGGUGUGACUAUGGGCAAUGGCCGCUCGUGCUGUGGCUGGUUCUUACAUCCAACUUGGGGGCACUCCCCAGAUCGCCCGCCUGGCCUUGCCUCUGCCCACCAGACACUUGGUGCUGGAAUCUUCGAGGCUGGGAGGGACUGGGACCCCCCCCCCCCAGUUCUGUGUCCUGACUGGGUGGGGUGGAGGGGCUGCUCCACAUCUCACAGCGUUCUCUGGCUGCAGAAUCUCCAGCCGAGACCUCCGUGCUCGUGGUGGGAAUCGUCAUCGGUGUCUUGCUACUCAUGGCAGCGGCUGUAGGAGGAGCUCUGUUGUGGAGAAGGAUGAGGAGUGGGCUGCCAGCCCCUUGGAUCUCCCUUCGUGGAGAUGACACCGGGGCCCUCCUGCCCACCCCGGGGGAGGCCCAGGAUGCUGAUUCGAAGGAUGUAAAUGUGAUUCCAGCCACCGCCUGACCAUCCACCAUUCCGACUACUAAAAGCGAAUGUAGUCAGGCCCCUUUCAUGCUGUGAGACCUCCUGGAACACUGGCAUCUCUGAGCCUCCAGAAGGGGUUCUGGGCCCAGUUGUCCUCCCUCUGGAGCCCCGUCCUGUGGUCUGCCUCAGUUUCCCCUCCUAAUACAUAUGGCUGUUUUCCACCUCAAUAAUAUAACACGAGUUUGGGCCUG